AUGAUUUACAUUUGAGUGAGUGGCGAACUGGUGAGUAACACGUGGGAAACCUGCCCAGAAGCGGGGGAUAACACCUGGAAACAGAUGCUAAUACCGCAUAACAACUUGGACCGCAUGGUCCGAGUUUGAAAGAUGGCUUCGGCUAUCACUUUUGGAUGGUCCCGCGGCGUAUUAGCUAGAUGGUGGGGUAACGGCUCACCAUGGCAAUGAUACGUAGCCGACCUGAGAGGGUAAUCGGCCACAUUGGGACUGAGACACGGCCCAAACUCCUACGGGAGGCAGCAGUAGGGAAUCUUCCACAAUGGACGAAAGUCUGAUGGAGCAACGCCGCGUGAGUGAAGAAGGGUUUCGGCUCGUAAAACUCUGUUGUUAAAGAAGAACAUAUCUGAGAGUAACUGUUCAGGUAUUGACGGUAUUUAACCAGAAAGCCACGGCUAACUACGUGCCAGCAGCCGCGGUAAUACGUAGGUGGCAAGCGUUGUCCGGAUUUAUUGGGCGUAAAGCGAGCGCAGGCGGUUUUUUAAGUCUGAUGUGAAAGCCUUCGGCUCAACCGAAGAAGUGCAUCGGAAACUGGGAAACUUGAGUGCAGAAGAGGACAGUGGAACUCCAUGUGUAGCGGUGAAAUGCGUAGAUAUAUGGAAGAACACCAGUGGCGAAGGCGGCUGUCUGGUCUGUAACUGACGCUGAGGCUCGAAAGUAUGGGUAGCAAACAGGAUUAGAUACCCUGGUAGUCCAUACCGUAAACGAUGAAUGCUAAGUGUUGGAGGGUUUCCGCCCUUCAGUGCUGCAGCUAACGCAUUAAGCAUUCCGCCUGGGGAGUACGGCCGCAAGGCUGAAACUCAAAGGAAUUGACGGGGGCCCGCACAAGCGGUGGAGCAUGUGGUUUAAUUCGAAGCUACGCGAAGAACCUUACCAGGUCUUGACAUACUAUGCAAAUCUAAGAGAUUAGACGUUCCCUUCGGGGACAUGGAUACAGGUGGUGCAUGGUUGUCGUCAGCUCGUGUCGUGAGAUGUUGGGUUAAGUCCCGCAACGAGCGCAACCCUUAUUAUCAGUUGCCAGCAUUAAGUUGGGCACUCUGGUGAGACUGCCGGUGACAAACCGGAGGAAGGUGGGGAUGACGUCAAAUCAUCAUGCCCCUUAUGACCUGGGCUACACACGUGCUACAAUGGAUGGUACAACGAGUUGCGAACUCGCGAGAGUAAGCUAAUCUCUUAAAGCCAUUCUCAGUUCGGAUUGUAGGCUGCAACUCGCCUACAUGAAGUCGGAAUCGCUAGUAAUCGCGGAUCAGCAUGCCGCGGUGAAUACGUUCCCGGGCCUUGUACACA
This 1326-nucleotide ribosomal RNA is filed under the name Lactobacillus sp. TAB-08. Its description in RNAcentral is "bacterial SSU rRNA". It matches the Rfam family "Bacterial small subunit ribosomal RNA", at positions 75 to 1389 of the family's 1533-position model. RNAcentral also lists the same sequence under 3 other names. Lineage: Bacteria; Bacillati; Bacillota; Bacilli; Lactobacillales; Lactobacillaceae. The record is from RNAcentral.